RNAcentral lists this microRNA (22 nucleotides) under Ciona intestinalis (vase tunicate). RNAcentral describes it as "cin-miR-5605-5p". Lineage: Eukaryota; Metazoa; Chordata; Ascidiacea; Phlebobranchia; Cionidae. The record is from miRBase by way of RNAcentral.
UCCCAUCUUAUCCCAUCCCACU